Molecule: unclassified non-coding RNA, 346 nt
Filed under: Homo sapiens (human)
Lineage: Eukaryota; Metazoa; Chordata; Mammalia; Primates; Hominidae
Description: novel transcript (ENSG00000278121.1)
Source: RNAcentral
GCCAUCCAGCAAGCCUCUUGCACAGCCAGACAAUCUGCCACUCUGCCAGUUUCCUCGCCAGCCUCUUGGUUAGCCUCCCAUGCAGCCAGCUUCUAGGCCAGCCUCCUAACAAGCCAGACUUGCAUUCCGACUCUUAGCCAGAUUCAGCCUGCCAGGAUCUCAGCAGGCCUUUUAGCAAGCGUUUAUGGCAGCCUCUCAGACAGAAAGCCUCUCCCACAGGCUCUAGGCCAGCCUCCCAGUGAGCCAGCCUCUCAGCAAGCCUCUAUGCUACUUUUCAAGAGAGUCCUUCAGUACACCAGCCUCCCAUGCAGCCCGCGCCUUGGCCAGCCUUCCAGCCAGCCUCUAG